Molecule: ribosomal RNA, 440 nt
Filed under: uncultured bacterium
Lineage: Bacteria
Description: partial 16S ribosomal RNA
Rfam family: Bacterial small subunit ribosomal RNA
Source: RNAcentral
CCUACGGGAGGCAGCAGUGGGGAAUAUUGCACAAUGGGGGAAACGCUGAUGCAGCGACGCCGCGUGAGUGAAGAAGUAAUUCGUUAUGUAAAGCUCUAUCAGCAGGGAAGAAAAUGACGGUACCUGACUAAGAAGCCCCGGCUAACUACGUGCCAGCAGCCGCGGUAAUACGUAGGGGGCGAGCGUUAUCCGGAUUUACGGGGUGUAAAGGGAGCGUAGACGGCGUGCCAAGUCUGAUGUGAAAGGCCGGGGCUCAACCCCGGGACUGCAUUGGAAACUGGCAUGCUGGAGUGCAGGUGGGGCAAGCGGAAUGCCUAGUGUAGCGGUGAAAUGCGUAGAUAUUAGGAAGAACACCGGUGGCGAAGGCGGCUUGCUGGACGGUAACUGACGUUGAGGCUCGAAAGCGUGGGGAGCAAACAGGAUUAGAUACCCUAGUAGUC